UACGUAGGGUGCAAGCGUUGUCCGGAAUUAUUGGGCGUAAAGAGCUCGUAGGCGGUUUGUCGCGUCUGCUGUGAAAACUCGGGGCUUAACUCCGGGCCUGCAGUGGGUACGGGCAGACUAGAGUGCGGUAGGGGAGACUGGAAUUCCUGGUGUAGCGGUGAAAUGCGUAGAUAUUGGGAGGAACACCAGUGGCGAAGGCGGCUCACUGGACCGGUUCUGACGCUGAGGCGCGAAAGCGUGGGGAGCAAACGGG
This 253-nucleotide ribosomal RNA is filed under the name uncultured bacterium. Its description in RNAcentral is "partial 16S ribosomal RNA". It matches the Rfam family "Bacterial small subunit ribosomal RNA", at positions 524 to 776 of the family's 1533-position model. The record is from RNAcentral.